RNAcentral lists this ribosomal RNA (265 nucleotides) under uncultured archaeon. RNAcentral describes it as "partial 16S ribosomal RNA". It matches the Rfam family "Archaeal small subunit ribosomal RNA", at positions 719 to 982 of the family's 1478-position model. The record is from RNAcentral.
ACAGUCACACAUUAGAUACCCGUGUAGUCCCCAGCCGUAAACUAUGCUCGCUAGGUGUCAGGCAUGGCGCGACCGUGUCUGGUGCCGCAGGGAAGCCGUGAAGCGAGCCACCUGGGAAGUACGGCCGCAAGGCUGAACUUAAAGGAAUUGGCGGGGGAGCACAACAACGGGUGGAGCCUGCGGUUUAAUUGGACUCAACGCCGGACAACUCACCGGGGACGACAGCAAUAUGUAGGCCAGGCUGAAGACCUUGCCUGAAUCGCUG